UCGAACGGAUUUUUGUCGUAGCUUGCUAUGAUAAAAAUUAGUGGCAGACGGGUGAGUAAUGCAUAGGAAUCUACCUAGUAGUAUGGGAUAGCCACUAGAAAUGGUGGGUAAUACUGUAUAAUCCCUGCGGGGGAAAGAUUUAUCGCUAUUAGAUGAGCCUAUGUUAGAUUAGCUAGUUGGUAGGGUAAAGGCCUACCAAGGCAGUGAUCUAUAGCUGGUCUGAGAGGAUGAUCAGCCACACUGGAACUGAGAUACGGUCCAGACUCCUACGGGAGGCAGCAGUGGGGAAUAUUGGACAAUGGGCGCAAGCCUGAUCCAGCUAUGCCGCGUGAGUGAGGAAGGCCUUAGGGUUGUAAAACUCUUUCAGUGGGGAAGAUAAUGACGGUACCCACAGAAGAAGUCCCGGCAAACUCC
This 414-nucleotide ribosomal RNA is filed under the name Ehrlichia canis. RNAcentral's name for it is "bacterial SSU rRNA". It matches the Rfam family "Bacterial small subunit ribosomal RNA", at positions 62 to 504 of the family's 1533-position model. The record is from RNAcentral. Lineage: Bacteria; Pseudomonadati; Pseudomonadota; Alphaproteobacteria; Rickettsiales; Anaplasmataceae.